Fundulus heteroclitus (mummichog) is the source of this 250-nucleotide long non-coding RNA. RefSeq lists it as uncharacterized. Lineage: Eukaryota; Metazoa; Chordata; Actinopteri; Cyprinodontiformes; Fundulidae. The transcript is spliced from 3 exons. The record is from RefSeq and is a predicted model, not a curated record.
GGAAACCUCUAAAAGUUUCAAGACUCCGGCCCUCGAGGACCGGAGUUGGCCACCCCUGGGCUAAAGGAAUGGCUUUUUUGAGGAGUCUGUUGACAAGCUGGGCUGAUGUAGGAGAAAGGAAAUCAAUGCAGCUAUGAUGGGCAGCAGACUCCCGCAUAUCUGCUUUUGACCUGAGCUCUGCUAUAGGUAACAUGGUUGAGCCAAUACAUUCUCCACCUACACCAAAACUAUACUACUGAAAUGCUACAGU